UUUUGAAGGAUUAUGAUUGUUAGAUCAUUUACCACCACGGGAGAGGGAAUAUAGUCGCUGAUACUUUAAGUUGACGAGAGCCUGCUAUGUUGACCCAAAUCAUAGCCUCCAGUUAGAAGAUAAUGGACACCAUGCAAUCACUCCACCUUAACUAUUAUGGCAAAGGCACCUACCUCGCCCAAAUUCGAGCCCUACUAGAUCUCUUUAUAAAGAUAUGGGAAGUACAGGCCACGGACCCGGAACUCAUCAAGAACCUGGGUAAGUUCACUUCAGAUGACU
This 279-nucleotide long non-coding RNA is filed under the name Carica papaya (papaya). Its description in RNAcentral is "long non-coding RNA (CPAP_LNC010421)". Lineage: Eukaryota; Viridiplantae; Streptophyta; Magnoliopsida; Brassicales; Caricaceae. The record is from RNAcentral.